Molecule: long non-coding RNA, 232 nt
Filed under: Sorghum bicolor (sorghum)
Lineage: Eukaryota; Viridiplantae; Streptophyta; Magnoliopsida; Poales; Poaceae
Description: long non-coding RNA (SBIC_LNC005130)
Source: RNAcentral
AAACCAUGGAUCCAAAGAAACAAAUCAAUAAGCCAAAUCAAGAUGUGCAUGUGUGGCGAAUGAAUGGUGUAUGGUGAUGAUGGUGAUAACAAUGGUGGUGGAAGUCUAAUUCUACUUUUGCUCUUUGAGGGAAUACAUACCUUCCUUGCUUUUUGAAACUUUGUGAGGAGAAUGAGAUGCUCUUCUUUUUCUUUUCUCUCAGGUGGGUAUCUUGUACCCCUAAUUCUACUGU